Molecule: unclassified non-coding RNA, 965 nt
Filed under: Hevea brasiliensis (rubber tree)
Lineage: Eukaryota; Viridiplantae; Streptophyta; Magnoliopsida; Malpighiales; Euphorbiaceae
Source: RNAcentral
UUCUCUUAGGCAAUGGAAAAUGGUCUGUUGAAGCUCAUGGUAAGAUUAUUAGUGAUUCUAAAGAGAGGUGAUGAAUUAGUUUAACAAUGAAAGGUACUGUAGUUUUAGAGUGGUUGAUAGUUAGGUUUUACUGCGUUCAGUGUAGACGUUUCGAUGGAGGAGAUGUCUAUGGUUGCAGUCCCAUUUGUAUUUGGUAGUUUGAUCUGUCACAAACCAAGCAUAGGAAGUCAUAUGGAUGUAACUAGGAUAAAAUCGAUGGAUGAUGCUACGAACUUGUAUUCUAAUUCAAGGACUAAAACGUUGGCAGACACUGUUUCUGGUGGCAAUGAUGAUUGUAGUUCUGCUGAUUCGGAGAGUGACCUUAGUAUUACAGCAUCAUCUGUGCCUGAAGAGAGCAGAAGUGAAGGGACUAUGUCGCUUGAUGUGAUAUCUGAAAAUGAAAGCAACUGGAUUGCUGGUGAUGCUGUUGUUAGGGAAAGUGAGGAUGAUGAUUCCUUAUCACUGGAGGGUGAUCAAAUUCUCGAUAAUUCGUGUUCCCUGUCAGUGGUGAGCGAUUGUAGUAGUUUAUGCGCUGAUGAUUUUAUAGGCUUUGAGAUAGCGUCUGACAUAGAAGGUCAGGAUUUCGUGGAUUCUCAGAAAAGCAUCAGCCAUGAUGAACUUAUUGGUAAGACUGGGGUUUUGGUUGAGUCAGAUGUUGAGGAUACUUUGAUUAGACCCGCGGCAGUUCCUGAGAGACUUGAGGAGCAGAUCACUGAUAAAGAUUUGAAUGCAACAGUCAGCCGCAGUGUUUUUGAAGUGGACUACAUACCCUUAUGGGGAUAUACAUCUAUCUGUGGAAGGAGACCAGAAAUGGAAGACGCAUUCGCAACUGUUCCUAGAUUCAUGAAAAUUCCUCUACCGAUGUUAAUUGGUGAUCGCGUGCUUGAUGGACUGUCUAGACGCUUGAGUCAUUUGACGACUCAUUU